UAAUUCCUCGAUGGUUGGUGAACUUCUCAUUUUUAACCUAACACGUUUAAUACGGGAAUCCUUAAAGUUCUCAAUCUGUGUUGAAAGCUGGUCCUGAACCAGAAUCCUUAAGAUUGCAGACAAGAUACCCACCUGCACAGUGCAGGCUUUAAACCUGAAGGUACCACGGCCGAUUGGGGAAUUUU
This 185-nucleotide non-coding RNA is filed under the name Culicoidibacter larvae. RNAcentral describes it as "6S / SsrS RNA". It matches the Rfam family "6S / SsrS RNA". From Rfam's summary of the family: E. coli 6S RNA was the first non coding RNA to be sequenced, but its function was unknown until recently. The record is from Rfam by way of RNAcentral. Lineage: Bacteria; Bacillati; Bacillota; Culicoidibacteria; Culicoidibacterales; Culicoidibacteraceae.